GCUGGCGGCGCGCUUAACACAUGCAAGUCGAACGAGAAAGCCCCGCAAGGGGUGAGUAAAGUGGCGUACGGGUGGGUAACACGUGGGUAAUCUGCUCUUUGGUGGGGAAUAACCCUGGGAAAUCGGGGCUAAUACCGCAUAAGCUCGCAAGAGGAAAGGUGCAAAUCGCCGAAGAAGGAGCCCGCGGCUGAUUAGCUAGUUGGUGAGGUAAUGGCUCACCAAGGCGAAGAUCGGUAGCCGGCCUGAGAGGGCACACGGCCACACUGGCACUGAAACACGGGCCAGACUCCUACGGGAGGCAGCAGUGGGGAAUCUUGCACAAUGGGGGCAACCCUGAUGCAGCGACGCCGCGUGAGCGAUGAAGCCCUUCGGGGUGUAAAGCUCUUUCGGCAGGAACGAUAAUGACGGUACCUGAAGAAGAAGCUGCGGCUAACUACGUGCCAGCAGCCGCGGUAAUACGUAGGCAGCGAGCGUUGUUCGGAGUUACUGGGCGUAAAGCGUGCGUAGGCGGUUUUGUAAGUUUGGUGUGAAAUCUC
Molecule: ribosomal RNA, 536 nt
Filed under: uncultured soil bacterium
Lineage: Bacteria
Description: bacterial SSU rRNA
Rfam family: Bacterial small subunit ribosomal RNA
Source: RNAcentral